Molecule: ribosomal RNA, 566 nt
Filed under: uncultured bacterium
Lineage: Bacteria
Description: partial 16S ribosomal RNA
Rfam family: Bacterial small subunit ribosomal RNA
Source: RNAcentral
UGGGGAAUAUUGGACAAUGGGCGCAAGCCUGAUCCAGCCAUGCCGCGUGAGUGAUGAAGGCCCCUAGGGUUGUAAAAGCUCUUUCAGCGAGGAGGAUAAUGACGUUACUCGCAGAAGAAGCCCCGGCUAACUUCGUGCCAGCAGCCGCGGUAAUACGAAGGGGGCUAGCGUUGUUCGGAAUCACUGGGCGUAAAGCGCACGUAGGCGGACUUUUAAGUCAGGGGUGAAAUCCCGGGGCUCAACCUCGGAACUGCCUUUGAUACUGGAAGUCUGGAGUCCGAGAGAGGUGAGUGGAACUCCGAGUGUAGAGGUGAAAUUCGUAGAUAUUCGGAAGAACACCAGUGGCGAAGGCGGCUCACUGGCUCGGUACUGACGCUGAGGUGCGAAAAGCGUGGGGAGCAAAACGGGAUUAGAUACCCUGGUAGUCCACGCCGUAAAACGAUGGAAGCUAGCCGUCAGGGUGCAUGCAUCUUGGUGGCGCAGUUAACGCAUUAAGCUUCCCGCCUGGGGAGUACGGUCGCAAGAUUAAAAACUCAAAGGAAUUGACGGGGUCAUAGCUGUUUCCU